RNAcentral lists this unclassified non-coding RNA (215 nucleotides) under Hevea brasiliensis (rubber tree). Lineage: Eukaryota; Viridiplantae; Streptophyta; Magnoliopsida; Malpighiales; Euphorbiaceae. The record is from RNAcentral.
AUUGAAUCAUAACUUUUACUCAAUCAAUUUUAUUAAUUUUUAUCAAUUCAAUUUAUUAUCUUUCACUAAUGAGUUAAAUUAGGUUAAUGAUGAUUUUAAUUUGUAUUUUGAAAAUUGUUGUAGAUAAUGUUUGAACCUGUAGGCUCUAUAUAAGAUGUAGAGUAAAGUAAGAUUUUUCAUCAUUUUGAAACCUUUAUAAUUUUAUGGUGUUUGAG